Molecule: long non-coding RNA, 209 nt
Filed under: Nicotiana benthamiana
Lineage: Eukaryota; Viridiplantae; Streptophyta; Magnoliopsida; Solanales; Solanaceae
Description: long non-coding RNA (NBEN_LNC000301)
Source: RNAcentral
UUUUCUUCAUUCUUUCUGAAUCUUCAAAAAGUCAAGAACGUGUUGAAGGCUCUUCCUAGUUCCCGGAUGAAUUUCCUAUUCUGAAGCAGGAUUUGGGUUUUAUUUUGAAUCCCUGGGUUGUUUUUCUGGUUUUGCUGUUGUUGGUUUGUUGGUUACUGUCGAAGUUUGGGUUUUCAUUUUUCUUCUGGUUUCCUUGACCUUUAUUUGGU